UGUAGGUUGCUGCACCACAGCACUUCAUCAUUAAGAACUACUGCCUAUAUGAAACUGUAUGCCUUGAUGUAGGCCUCGUAUUCUGUAGGAGAAGUUGGACCAGUGCUAGCGACAGACAGAAAAAUGUUUUCAAAGAGAAAUUUAAUUGUCUGUUUCUAGCACAGUACAGGGAACACAUCCUGCAAGUAGUCUUACAUAACCCAACCUUGAGAACAAGCACAACUCUGAGAGCACAGAGUGCUACAAGUUGUGUUUAUUUACACGAUACCACAAAACCACAGAGGCAAACCAGCCUGACAACAAAAGAUUUGGGAGUCAGGCGGCAAAACACUAGAAAAUUCAUCAUGGAAAUACCUAUGAACUCUUUACUAUGCUGCCUUUUUACUUAACCUGAAAUAUCUAUGCAGAGUACUCUCCCUCUUAUAUGAUAGCUCACUAAGAAACAAAGCCGAAGUGCUCACUACUGUGUACCCAGCAUGUUAUAGCAAGGGUAGAAGUUUAUGGUUUUGAAAGUUUGUCUUCCAGUUUUAGAAACCCCAUGAGUCUGGUUUUUUUCCCACUGUCACUGCUGGAUAUAAAGUAUAUAAAGGAUAUAAAGUAACACAAAAAAAAAGACUGUUAUUACAACAAUCUAUCUCACAUUUGCUCCAACCUGUAACAAGAAUUCAGAUUGGAGUUUCAUUCUUGGAUGCAUUUCCUAAGAGAUUAAGUCUGUCACUUAGAGAAUGAUCUCUCUAAAUUCCAAAAAAAAAAAAAAAAAAAAAAAAAAAAAGCAUUUUUUUCCUAAUAUUUGGGUCUUUCCAAACAAAUAAUGGCUUUUGUUUUGCUGUGUUUGCUGAUGGAGCUGGACAGGAUCUAUAAAUACCGUUUUAAAUAAGUCAGCAUAAGAGGUUACUGGGAGUUUAAUCGGUAAGAAUAUGUUUUAGGGAUUGAAAGACAUUCCUAGUUACAGCGCCUUCCUAUUGAUGUUAUCAGUGUUCAUUCUGUGUUUGAUGGACUGCUACAUGGUGCAAAUAAGGUGGUGAAUUUCCUCAAAUUUGUAUCCUAUGGCAGAUAAAAAUACAGUGCUAGUAAUUAUUUUGAAUCAAAAGGGAUUUAAAAAUGCACAUAAUUGCCAAAUAUCUUUCUUCCUCUCACGUGUUUCUAAUGUGAGUACAUGACCUAUCGCUAUGUCUGGCAGUGAGCUUAAGACUAAGAACUAUAAUUUGGGGUUUCUAUACUGUAUUUUUAAUUGGACACUUUUUUCUUUCAGUUUUCUUUCAUGAGUGCUAAUAUACACAUUGCUGCAAUCACCUGGGUGAACAUCUAUGUUUAAACCACUUGGAGCCCUGUACUAGAAAAGAAACCUCCUGGCAUGUCUUGGAUCCUCCUUCAGUCUGAAAGUCUCCAUCUUUGCUGUUGUAAAUAAAAGGUUUUCAUAACAUUG
Long non-coding RNA from Parus major (Great Tit), 1426 nucleotides. RefSeq lists it as uncharacterized. NCBI's taxonomy places the organism in Eukaryota, Metazoa, Chordata, Aves, Passeriformes, Paridae. The transcript is spliced from 2 exons. The record is from RefSeq and is a predicted model, not a curated record.